RNAcentral lists this ribosomal RNA (467 nucleotides) under uncultured bacterium. Its description in RNAcentral is "partial 16S ribosomal RNA". It matches the Rfam family "Bacterial small subunit ribosomal RNA", at positions 28 to 507 of the family's 1533-position model. The record is from RNAcentral.
GACGAACGCUGGCGGCGUGCUUAACACAUGCAAGUCGAACGGAAAGGCCUCUUUCGGGGGGUACUCGAGUGGCGAACGGGUGAGUAACACGUGAGUAACCUGCCCUUGACUUUGGAAUAACUUCAGGAAACUGGGGCAAAAACGGGAUGGAGCUUCCGGUGGCAGGGGGGGGGUGGGAAAGUUCCGGCGGUGGGGGAUGGACUCGCGGCUUAUCGGCUUGUUGGUGGGGUAGUGGCUUACCAAGGCUUUGACGGGUAGCCGGCCUGGGAGGGUGACCGGCCACAUUGGGACUGAGAUACGGCCCAGACUCCUACGGGAGGCAGCAGUGGGGAAUAUUGCACAAUGGGUGGAAGCCUGAUGCAGCAACGCCGUGUGCGGGAUGACGGCCUUCGGGUUGUAAACCGCUUUCGCUCAUGACGAAGCUUUGUGUGACGGUAGUGGGUAAAGAAGCACCGGCUAACUACGUG